GCUUACCGAAAUUAGCCAAACGCCGAAUGCCGGUAAGUGAGAGCGCGGCAGUGAGACUGCGGGCGAUAAGGUUCGUAGUCGAGAGGGAAACAGCCCAGAUCGCCGGUUAAGGCCCCUAAGCGUGUGCUAAGUGGGAAAGGAUGUGGAGUCGCCCAGACAACCAGGAGGUUGGCUUAGAAGCAGCCACCCUUGAAAGAGUGCGUAAUAGCUCACUGGUCAAGUGAUUCCG
RNAcentral lists this ribosomal RNA (229 nucleotides) under Pycnococcus provasolii. RNAcentral's name for it is "partial Bacterial large subunit ribosomal RNA". It matches the Rfam family "Bacterial large subunit ribosomal RNA", at positions 934 to 1161 of the family's 2925-position model. Lineage: Eukaryota; Viridiplantae; Chlorophyta; Pseudoscourfieldiophyceae; Pseudoscourfieldiales; Pycnococcaceae. The record is from RNAcentral.